RNAcentral lists this ribosomal RNA (936 nucleotides) under uncultured bacterium. Its description in RNAcentral is "bacterial SSU rRNA". It matches the Rfam family "Bacterial small subunit ribosomal RNA", at positions 8 to 925 of the family's 1533-position model. The record is from RNAcentral.
AGAGUUUGAUCAUGGCUCAGAACGAACGCUGGCGGCGUGGAUAAGACAUGCAAGUCGGACGAGAUUUUUCGUUGUAGCAAUACGAUGGAAAGUCUAGUGGCGAACGGGUGCUUAACACGUGGGCAAUCUGUCUUAAAGUGGGGGAUAGCUCGGCGAAAGCCGAAUUAAUACCGCAUGUGAUUAGAGUGGACAUCCAUUCGAAAUUAAAGUCGGGGCAACCUGACGCUUUUUGAGGAGCCCGCGGCCUAUCAGCUUGUUGGUGAGGUAACGGCUCACCAAGGCUUUGACGGGUAGCUGGUCUGAGAGGACGACCAGCCACACUGGGACUGAGACACGGCCCAGACACCUACGGGUGGCAGCAGUCGAGAAUUUUUCUCAAUGGGGGAAACCCUGAGGGAGCGACGCCGCGUGGAGGAUGAAGGUCUUCGGAUUGUAAACUCCUGUCAUUGGGGAACAAGUCGCUUACGUUAACUGCGUGAGCGUUGAUAGUACCCGAAGAGGAAGAGACGGCUAACUCUGUGCCAGCAGCCGCGGUAAUACAGAGGUCUCAAGCGUUGUUCGGAUUCAUUGGGCGUAAAGGGUGCGUAGGCGGCGCGGUAAGUCGGGUGUGAAAUCUUGGAGCUUAACUCCGAAACUGCAUUCGAUACUGCCGUGCUUGAGGACUGGAGAGGAGACUGGAAUUUACGGUGUAGCGGUGAAAUGCGUAGAUAUCGUAAGGAAGACCAGUGGCGAAGGCGGGUCUCUGGACAGUUCCUGACGCUGAGGCACGAAAGGUCAGGGGAGCAAACGGGAUUAGAUACCCCGGUAGUCCUGACAGUAAACGGUGCACGUUUGGUGUGGAGGAUUCGACCCCUUCUGCGCCGGAGCUAACGCGUUAAACGUGCGCCUGGGAGUACGGUCGCAGAUUAAAACUCAAAGAAAUUGACGGGGGUCGCA